This 502-nucleotide ribosomal RNA is filed under the name uncultured bacterium. RNAcentral's name for it is "partial 16S ribosomal RNA". It matches the Rfam family "Bacterial small subunit ribosomal RNA", at positions 28 to 507 of the family's 1533-position model. The record is from RNAcentral.
GACGAACGCUGGCGGCGUGCCUAAUACAUGCAAGUCGAACGAACCGCGACUAAGUGCUUGCACUAAGUCAAGGUGAGUGGCGAACGGGUGAGUAACACGUGGGUAACCUACCUCAUAGUGGGGGAUAACAGUCGGAAACGACUGCUAAUACCGCAUAGGACAUAGGAUCACAUGAUCCAGUGAGGAAAGGUGGCGCAAGCUAUCGCUAAGAGAUGGACCCGCGGUGCAUUAGCUAGUUGGUAGGGUAAGGGCCUACCAAGGCGAUGAUGCAUAGCCGACCUGAGAGGGUGAUCGGCCACAUUGGGACUGAGACACGGCCCAAACUCCUACGGGAGGCAGCAGUAGGGAAUCUUCCGCAAUGGACGCAAGUCUGACGGAGCAACGCCGCGUGAGUGAAGAAGGUCUUCGGAUCGUAAAGCUCUGUUGUUAGAGAAGAACAGCGCAUAGAGUAACUGCUAUGCGUGUGACGGUAUCUAACCAGAAAGCCACGGCUAACUACGUG